AGUGAAGUGAUCUGGGCUUCCACUGGGGGCUUCCAGCUUUUAAAAACUCCCUGGGUGAUUAGUGUGCAGCCAAGUUUGGGUACUAUUGGUUUAAUCCAUCAUUUUUACAGGUUUGGAGAGGGGUUUUGGGGGGUAGGGGUGGAGGUGGGAAGUGGGCAAUAGGGGGUGUCACAGAUGUCGAAUUGGAUAAAAACUUUUGUCCCUCAAUCCAGGCACUUGCAUUUAGAUGUAAAACCUGGCAUAGUAUUUCAGGGUAUUUACAGAUCCCAGGAAGUGAACCAGGGAAUGCCUGUGAGCCGUGUGGUCCCCAAGUGAGAAAAGUCCAGCUGCAGGAGUGUCCACCUCCAAUCGGGGUGACAGGAGCUCUCUUGUCCUAUCCAGAAUGGUGCUGGCCCUUUGUCUCAGUCUUUUUGUGCUGUAAUAACAAAGUACCCAAGACUGGGUAAUUUGUAAAAAGCAAAACAACAACAACAAACCAGGAAUUUAUUUCCCACAGCUUCUGAAGUCUGGGAAGUCCAAGCUCAAGGUGAAGUCUCCUCAGGUGGCAGAGAGCAGAAGCACACAAGAGACCAAACUCCCUCCCUCAAGCUCUUUUACAAGAACACUCAGACAUUCACAAGAGCUGAACCCUCAAGCCUACUCACCUCCUGAAGGCUACACCUCUAAUACGGAUUGAACUUUCGCAUGAGUUUUGAGGGAGAGCCAUUCAAAGCCUAGCACCCUUCGACUUCAGAGAAGCUCCGGCCCUGCUCUCACCAAGCCGGUUCCCCUUAGGCAGAGCGCCAAGAAGCAGCCCAGGCGAUCCCAAGGCUCACAAGUGCUCUCAUCAGGCUGCGCGCUGGCCGGUCAGUGCACCAGGGCAGGGCCGCCGCCCACGCGCGCUUGGUUCAGGCAGUCCAGGCUGCCCCCACUGGCGGCUACAAAAGCGCGCCGAGUCUUCCUGUCCACCCAGUCGCCCCACAUGUCAGCGGUUGGUCGCCUCGCGGUGCAGCGCUGGGCACGCAAGCCCCUCCCGCAGCCAUUCGCAGCACAAGCACCACCCGCAGCGACAGAGCUAAGAGCCCCCACGCCGCAGAGGUCGCGCGGAGCAGAUUUGAUGGAGUGAAACAGAGCCCAGCUGCUGGAGCAGAGGCACCUGCUCGAGUCCCACGGACACCCGCAGCCCAAUCCCCGGAGGCCAGUGGGGCUCACGGUGACUGAGUUCAAUAUGAUCAGAAUUGAACCAUUUCAAAAAGCAGCGCAAGUGGCAACUGCUAGAAACCAGACUAACUGAGUUUGAUCCCCCUCUUCUGCUCCUUCCCUCUGAUGGAAUUCUCAUUUUCCCUGGCCUCCCACAUUGACAUUCAUCCAAUGCCCAUGCUGCUGGAUCAGCCUUCCUGGAGCCACAUCCAGCUUAGAAAGAUGAAGGGUUUCCAACCUUUUUGGAGAUGACAAUGUGUUAUCAAAAUCAACAAAUUAAUAGAUUUGCUUCCUUUGUGUAUUUUUUGCAAUGUUCUGUGAGAUAUCAAGCCACUUUCCUGGUAGUUUCUUAUUCAGUAUUUCACCGAACUGCUUUAAUAAAAGAUGGUCAGGCCUCAACCCUAACAGUCACUUUCAGAUCUUGUUAAUAAGUUGGGUUUAUAAUCUGAUACAGGUUUUGAGAUGGCCCUGAGAACUUAGGUUUUUCGUAGGCUCUCUGGGCAACUUUCAUGGGGCAGAGGUUUAGAAAGCUGGGAACAAUCUGCCAGGCAUCGAGAAGCCACUAGAUGGCAGGGCCAUCCCUUGGAGCCCAUUCUUCAAUCUAGAAAGUGGUCAGAGAGGAAACCUGUGGAGUGGGGAAGAGUCCAAGUAGACACGUUAAAUGCAAGUUAAUAAGUGGAUGGU
Macaca mulatta (Rhesus monkey) is the source of this 1863-nucleotide long non-coding RNA. Lineage: Eukaryota; Metazoa; Chordata; Mammalia; Primates; Cercopithecidae. The record is from Ensembl.